This 255-nucleotide ribosomal RNA is filed under the name uncultured bacterium. Its description in RNAcentral is "partial 16S ribosomal RNA". It matches the Rfam family "Bacterial small subunit ribosomal RNA", at positions 524 to 777 of the family's 1533-position model. The record is from RNAcentral.
UACGAAGGGGCUAGCGUUGUUCGGAAUUACUGGGCGUAAAGCGCGCGCAGGCGGUCUUCCAAGUCAGUGGUGAAAGCCCGGAGCUCAACUCCGGAAUUCGCCAUUGAAACUGUUGGACUUAGAGGAUGAGAGAGGUGAGUGGAAUUCCCAGUGUAGAGGUGAAAUUCGUAGAUAUUGGGAAGAACACCGGUGGCGAAGGCGGCUCACUGGCUCAUUACUGACGCUCAGGCGCGAUAGCGUGGGGAUCAAACAGGG